RNAcentral lists this transfer RNA (73 nucleotides) under Pantanalinema sp. GBBB05. Its description in RNAcentral is "tRNA-Gln". It matches the Rfam family "tRNA". From Rfam's summary of the family: Transfer RNA (tRNA) molecules are approximately 80 nucleotides in length. Lineage: Bacteria; Bacillati; Cyanobacteriota; Cyanophyceae; Leptolyngbyales; Leptolyngbyaceae. The record is from RNAcentral. RNAcentral also lists the same sequence under 1 other name.
UGCCCUGUGGUGAAAUUGGCAUCCAUGUCGCUCUUUGAAAGCGAAGUUCCAGGUUCAAACCCUGGCGGGGCAG